GACGGGCUGGGGGACCCAGCCGCCUGCCGGGCUCCCCCGGCCCCAAAAUGGUGGGAGCCGCUUCGCCCCGCCCCCGAGCGCGGUGUUUGUUUGUGUUCCGGGCAUGGCGGAGCCCGCGGCCGCUCGGGCCCGGCGGGGCGGGACGGGACAGGAGGCAGCGGGGACCCCCCGCACCACCCGGCCCACACCGGCCGAGGGGCCUGUGCGGGGCCCAGCCACCUUCCGAGGGGUCCCCUGGGCGGGUCCCCAGGCAGGGAAGGGGUGCCCUGUGCUGGUCCCUGACGUGACCCGAGGGGCACAGGGCUGUGAACCCCAGAGUAGAGCAAAAUCAGUAACAGGCACUUCGGUUUUGCGUUUCUAAAGGUUGUUUUAUGCGAUAAGCAGGUGCUCUAAUAAGCUAUAUAUUUAGCUGCUUUCUUUUUUUCCUUCAUAAACACAUAUUCAUAUUUGGAUAUAAGUAUAGGUAAGUACUGAUAAUGCAAACUUGAAGUUAAUGCCCCUGUAUUGGUAUGCCAGCACUGACCCACACAGAGGGGAAUAUACCAUGGUCCUACUGGUGUUCUUUGGUUCCUCAAAAUCUGUGCUUGGCCUUCAGAUUCACACCGUGGAAAAUACUUUAAAAUCCAGGUUUUAAAGUGAAGGUUUUUUUCCCAGUGAAGCAAGUGUGGUGCAGAUGAGAGCAGCUGCAAAGUCCAGCCUGCAAAGCAGUACAGCGUGGCUGCUGCUUAUCGCCAAGCUCUCUGCUGAUACAGCUUUGCACCAGAGCUCCCGUUCUGGGCCAGACUAUCUCCAGACCUGUUGUUCACAGUGACGUGUUUGGCUCCACAACCUUUGCUGGUGGACCUCAGUCUGGGAUCAGACAUUUUGCUGAUUAUCUUUGUGCGUUCGUUCUUGGAGAUUUCAUUUUAUUACUGUUUAGGUUGGUUUGUUUUGCUGCUUAUCAAUGGGUAAGUUAAACAAGCCUGGUGUAAAGCCUGUGAUUGCUGCCAUUUAUGGUGUUCUAACACGGUUUCAGACUUUUCAAGGAAACUGAAACUAAAAAUGGGGCAGGACUGUGAGAGUUGCUCAAGAUAGAGAGGCUUUGCAAUGGUGCACUGUAAAUAAUGACUGCUGUACAUGGCUUGCUCAUUUGGGUGUUUAUCCUAUGAGUCUGUUGCCUUGGUUUAGCAGAAUUAGGCAAGCAAUUGUUGGAGGAGAUCCAGUGAGCCACUGCCUCACCCAGUCAUGGUUUCAAGGUUAAGGCAAUGUCAGAGCUGCCUGCUGUGAGAACCUGGUGAUGAAACUCAGCAUUGUCACUGGUGUUUUCAGUGGUGCAGUGGCACCAUUGGGAAUGAGGUUAUGGGCAACUAGGAAGACUUAUUUAUUCAGCUGGGAGCUCGUGUUUUGUUUUCUCUGUGAGGUUCAGGCCUGUCGUUGAUGUAGUUCAGUGAAAACCAGAGGUCACACUGUGCCUUGGUGUGAGGCUGUGAUCAGCUUGUGAUCCUCUACAGUGAGGAGGUCCUAUGGAAACCUGGGGUGCCUCCCUGGUGGCUUGCAUGCCAAAACAGCCUUUCUUUGGAAACCAGAGUGCAAACUGGUCUCAUUCUGAUAUGCAGUCUGGGCAUGGGUAGGAUUUCCCCUGCGUCUCAUGGUAUAGAUGUUACAUUUAUUUACCUUGAGGCAGAUGUCCAGAAGGAAUAGGUACUAAGCCCAGUUAAAACUUUCCCCUUAAGAGGUAGAGAAUGCUCCAAAUCUGGGCAUGUUUUGAAAAAUGCAGACUUGUCAAGUGCCAGAAGAGAUCUGCUUUUCAUGAUGAACUCACUGAGACCAAAGAGGAAGCAGAGGUUCAUGUUUGGCCUUGCAACAAGACAGAGUGCACCUGUGAGAGCUCUGAAGGGGGAAGAGCUACUGGCAGUCACACCUGGAUUCUUUGCAGCAGGGGUGGCUGAAGGUACUGCUUUUCCAGGCCAUUCACUCCUGUUAUGUCAGAGAGGUCAUUAAUGGCUUUGCACCACUGGCUCAAAAGUUGUACAAAGGCCCAGGAGAUGGAAAAUGGAGAAUUUUUGUGUUCACAAAUGUCUUUUAAUACCCUGUGUAUGCUGAGGUGUAACUGUGAAUCUGCUCCUUUUGCUACCACACUUUUUGCAGGCUGGGGACAAGGAAGCAGAGGGAUGGGUCCUCAGAGGCUGUGAUUAAUGACUGUGGUUUCUUUAGAUUUAUGGUAUGUUUUAACAGAACCAUAGGGCAGUUUAACUGAUUACUUCAGUUCUCUCUGGUUUUUACUUCCUCUGCUUAGUUUGGGGAACAAGUAAUAGUCAGAAUGGAUUUUCUAGAGCCUUAAAAGACUCCUAUAGAGGAAGAAAGAUUCAUGUAGUGGUUUAGAGCUACACGGUAUUUUGCAAAUACAAAAAUUUGUGUCAGACUAAUAACAAGACAGAACUGGCAAUGUAAGUCAAUGAAACUUUUUCUUACUUGUAGACAUUUAGUUGGCUGUAAUCUGUUGUCAGAAUGGAAAUGGGGAUGUUCUGAAGUUUGCCAGUGUACAGAUUUCAUGUUCUGGUACACCUCGAUACAACGUCGUACACGGGUCUGUCCUCACCAGCUUCUGGCAGCUAGCAUCUUCUGAGUGAAAUCUAUCUUUUAAAAAAUAAUAGACAUUCAAGAAAAGGAGUGUUAAACUAUGCAGACAAAAUUUAAGUUUUAUUUUACAGGCUUUUGGUAUGAGGGGAGGCAGGUGACAUAUUGAUGUAUUCUUAAGGCUCAUAUGAGGUAGCCAGAGAUGAUGAACUUUUUACUGGAAAAAAUCUGUUUUCUUUUGAGUUAAAAAUCUAAAAUCCACUGAGGACAUAAAAAGUCCUUUCUUGUUAAGAGUUCCUCUGCAAAAUUGAUGUCCUAAAUUGCCUAAUUUUUGGAUGAAAGACCCUUUGAUAACACCAUUUUACGUGAUCCAUGCUCAUGCUUUGUUGGAUGACAUUUUGGAUAUGUUUAAUAUGUCAUGCUUAACAAAAGUUUUUGAAAGACCUUUUCCUCAACAUGGAAAAGUUUUUUCACUUCCUUUUCUUACAUCAAGCUUAUUUUCCCAACACUUAUCAUCUCUCAUGUCUUAUCUUUCUUUUGGAUAAAAUUGUUUUCCCAAUUCCUACACAGAAGCCCAGUUGACUUCUGAGUGCAAUCUUUCCAUGCCAUGGUACCCAGAGGUUCAGAGAUAACUCUGUUUGCUCAGGUAAUGUUGGUGAACACAAUGCAAUUUUAAAACCUUUUUCUGGAAGGAAAAAAAACAGAAAAAAAAGACUUUGUAUACCUCUGGAGAAUGGAAGUAAAUUACAUUCUUCUAUUAUGUAUGUGAAUCUGAUUACAGGAAUGGUGGAAUUAAUUUAUCUGGUUAUAAAGAACAUGGCAUUUUCUAAAAUGCACAGGAUUAUUUUUGGUUUUGUUGAUUUUAGCUGAAACAUAGACGUUUUUCAGUGUAUAUUACAGCUGCAUAUUGCUUUCUGAGACAGAGUGAAUGCAGCACUAGAAAGCAAUUAUGGAACUAAUAUAUUUCCCUGAAAUGUACUUUGUGAUGCAGGAUUUUACUCAUGUUUCUAAAAAUUACUUAAACUUCAGCCUAAAUAAUCCUGGUAUCACAAAUAUGCCACUUACAUCAAUUUAUCCCAAAGAUACCAUCUUGGUAAGGAGAAGUAUUCCAUUACUGGCAAGAAUAACUUGCCUUCCGUAAUAACAGUUUUCCCCAGGUCCAAAAUGGUUUUUUUUCAGUGAGGAGUGUUAUUCCUGCCUAUUCUGUGCACUGGGACACCUGCACUGUGAGCCACAAAGAGCAGAAAGAACAUGAAUUUUGGCACUAAAACGCCCAAGCAACAAAGCAGACAGUCAUCAUACAAAAGUAACCUCUUCAAACAAACCCUCUGUCACCCAGCUUCCUGGUGAAUUUUGUGUAGGAAUAUAUUUUCCUUUUUCUCCUUGUACCACAUGUUGCCACAGUCUCAACUUCAAGGAUGAUCAGAGACCUGUAAAAUAUGAUCUAAGGGGAAAGAUUGAAAGAAUUGGGGUUGUUUAGUCUGAAGAAAAGGAAGAUGUUGGGAAAAAUGAUAAUGAUCUUUCAAAAUGUAAAAUGUGUCUCUGCAGAGAGAAGGAAUAAGUUUUUCUUUGUGUUCAGUGGGUCUAGGGCAAGAGGUGAUAGACUUGGAGAUUUAAAGUGGACCUUAGGAAAUUAUUCCAAACUGCAGAUGUAGUUUGGCGCUGAAAAUGAUUAUCUGGGAAUCUCAUUUGCUGAAGGCUUUGAAAGGCGGAUUAGGUCACAUGUCUCAGGAAUGGUUUUAGUUGCAGUAGAUUAUGUGGAGAUAACCCCAAAAGGUUCCUGGCUGGUUUAUGGUGUUUUGUUUCUCUCAGGUGAUUUACAGCAGAUGCUUUGCUAUUGUGUUAUUUUAUAUCCUCAGAAAAUGCCGGGAAGAAAAGCUAUCAGUAGGUGCAAAACGGGGUAAGUAGAAUGGGUGGGGACUUUCCCAAUAGCAGAAUACUAAGAAAUCACAGUUCCUGCAGGAAAGGUGGUGUGUAUGAGCAGAGUGUAACAUGCUCACAUGUCAUCCUGACAGGCUUUGGGACACAAGUAUUGGGCUGGCUUUCAGCAAGUGCUGGUUAAUCAAUACACAGAAAUCUCUGUUCUAAAUUUUAAUUUGAAGUUUUAAUUGAAGCUUCGCUUUUUGCUGUGUUCAAGUGUUUCCUGAAUUUUGCAAGGAGUGAACUCCAUCCACAUUUCACCAGUAGCCAGUUUGUUAGAUUUUUUGUUCUUCCAGUUCUCUGCAACAGUAAAGUAGUAUCCAAAAUGCUUGUAAUUCUUUGAAACAGAGUUGAGGAAUUGUUUGUUCUACUUAAAUAUGCAUUCUGCUGCAAAAUUUAAAGCACCUUUUGUUCACCUUCUCUAUAGUCUUCCUGUUUUUCUGAAUUUCACUAUUCUUCCUGUAGCCUAAAAUCUCUGUUCUCUUCCUGUAGGUAACUGUAGGUGUUCUGCAAUAACAGAGUGAUAAAUUGACACUUGAAUAGAUUCAUGAGAACCUAGGGAGUGUGACCUGUCAGACAGCUCUGCCCAAGUCCAAGAUCACCUCUGUCUUUGUCAUUCCUUGACAGAAAACUGAUUAAACUCUUUCUGGAUACUGAAUGAUGGCUGCAGCCCAGUCCCUUUGUCCAGAGCUGUGCCACAUUGCUGUAACCCCAUUGCAGCAGUCACCACCACAGCAUCCACUUCCCCAGGGAUGGAUCCUGGUCCCUGUGCCAUAUCAGCCAGGUGAGGAGAAGGACAGGCCCCUGCCAUCACCAAGGACAGCCCAAAUCUCUCCUGAGCCUGGUCCAAAAAGGUUCAGUGAUUUACAGUUCGUUAUGGCAAGACACUUCUUCUAUUGUCGUGAACAUUUUAAAAUGUUAUCACACAAUAAUUGCUAUCACAACUUUGAAUUCUGUGUUUCUGUUUCAAAUUUUCCUCAGUUCAAUCAGAACCAAAAGUUAAUGCCCGUUGGCUAAUUUCCAGUGCAUGCCUCCACAGAACAACUGCUGCCUUUAACUGGUGGAGAGAUCAAGGCUUGAACUGACAAAAGACAUCUGUAUUUUGGAAAACAAAUUAAUGUUUAUGUUUUAAUUUAUAAGUUCCUGGCUCUUUUAUGGUUCCUGUUUUUCAAGUAAUGUCUCUUUGGAUCUCCAGCUGAUGGAGAGUCAAAAUGGAAAAGACCCGUGAGAGAAUUAUCACAAUAGAACAUCUGGUCUGCAUUGGAAAAAGCUGAGAAAGAUAUUCAACAUCUCUGAGGCUGAGGAAGCCAUGAGGCACUUUGAAAGUCAGUCCAUGAAAAAUUGUGCAGGUUGUGACCACCUGGGCCAAUCUAGUGUUGUUUUGGGAAGAGCUACUCUGCUCAUGAGCAUCUGAAUUUUAAUCUCCCUUAAGGAUGGAUAUGUGAGAGCUGGGAGCAGUAUGAAAGGUGUUUACUUUCCAUAAUGUUAAUCUGAGUCCCAGCAUUGUCCUAAUUAUAUUGUGGGUUUUUGCCAGUCUCACAGAUUUCUUUUGAGCAUGUAUGCUGGAGUGAAAGGGCUUUCCCAAGGCUUUUGGCAUAGCUUUACAGGAAAGUGGAUGGAAAGGACUUAGUGUAUUUUUGGAAGAAUGUUUUGCAUCCUGCUUUAAACUAUUCCAGAAGGUAAAAGGACAUUAGCUAGACUGUGUGUUGGCUCAUGUAUUGCUAUGUCACUGAUGGCAAGGAGUUUUAGUCCUGUUUUCUGCAGUCACAGACUGUAAGAAAUGCAAAGAAUUCAUGGAGCAACCAGGGCAGUGAAGGUACCCCUGGAUUCAGAGGGAACAAACUCCAAUCACCACGUGGAACUUUGGUCCUUUAAGUCUUUAUAGCUCAUGCAGAGCAGAAACAAUUUGACAUGUAUAACAAGAAACAUUGCAAAUUGUUUGCCAAACAAAGACUUAUACUGCAGAUGGAAGAACUGAUGAAAAUUGUUUAUAGAUGGGGAACUAAAUGUAGAUUUUUCAAGAACAAGGUUGUUGUCUUCCUUGCCAAGACAAACAAAUCUGAUAGACCGUCUCAUUGCUUCAGGCUGCCUGAGGACCCACUGCAAAGCCUAUGUACCUUUUUCCACAAAAAAUUUGUGUGUUGUCAAUACAUAAGUGUAUUGUCCACAGUUACUCUGUGGCAGCUGCAGAGGAAGUGGAAGGUUCUCAGAAAUACAUUAGGGAGAACUGGAUUUUUGGCUUCUGAAACAGUGUGGAGUGCUUUUGGAAACUGUGGAAGUUUGUAAGCUGGAUGUUACUGCUACAAAAGGUUAUCUGUGUGUUAAACGUAAUAGUAAUUAAUCUACUAUCUUCAGAUCUUAACACUAACAACACAAUGAAAUUGAGAAUUCCUAUAUUCUAGAAUUGCACUUUCCAAGAUGCCUUCAUUCCCAUGAACAUACCCUGGUCUGCACUUAGAGAUUUGCAGUGUUACCUUUAGAAAUCUGUGCACAGAUGUUUCUACAAAGCACUGUGUAAUCAUCCCGAACAACUGGUUUCAAUGGGCCACUUAUUUAGGAAAUCAUGUAAUGAGAACAUAAAUACAAUCCCUGAUACUGACAUAAAACAUGUAUUAGCAAAAUAAUAUCGUUUGUAUUUCCCUGAUACAGAGCAGACCCUGGAAAUACAUAACUCAUAAUGUCCUUAAAAUUCUGUUAAACCUGUAAACAUCUGUAUUGGCAGAGAGGCCCAGCAGCAUGCUGGCUGCAUUAGGAGGAGCAUUGCUAGGAAGUCAAAGGUGAUCAUUCCCCUUUGCCCAGCACUGGUGAGACUUCAGUGGGAGUGCUGUGCCCAGUUCUGAGCUCCCCACAGCAGCAGGACAUGGACAUGCUGGAGGGAGGGCAGGAAAGGGCAGUGAGGAUGGGUAAGAGGAGCAUCUGUCCUGUGGCUGCCCAGGGAGGUGUUGAUGUCAUUGAAGAAACUCCAAACUCAGCUAAGCAAGGUCCUGAGCACCCUGCCCUGGGUGAUCCAGCUUUGAGCUGGGCUUGGACUGAGUGAUCUCCAGAGAUGCUUCCAGACUGGGAAUAUUUGAGGCAGUUUGCUUGUGUCCUGUCAGCAUUUUAGCUGCAGCUCUACUGUGGAGGAAUCCUAAGGAGAGCAAAGGCUGUGACCCUAGAAAUUCAUCCAGAUGGCUGAGGCCCAGAAAAGGCAUAAUGGGAGCUGCUAAGUAUUCUGAAUGUCUCAUCAGAGUGAUAUUUCACUUGAAAAUACAAAAUAGAAAUUACUUGGGUCUUAAUGACACUGAAUACCCAUAAUGUUCUCUCACUUCAGCUGGACUGCAGAUGGUAACAACCUCUCUCUAUCAGAACACACUUAUUUUAGUUUAAUCUUGCUCUGUAAAAUCUUAACAUGUAUUUUACUCUAGAAGUUAACACUUGAUGCUUUAUGGUGCAGAAUUUGCUUGCUGAUUUGUUCCACACUUUCUUUCCUCACUAGUACUGAUAUUAAGAAAUUAAAAUCUAUUUUGACAUAUUACUUCAGUAAUAAGCCCAUACUAUGUCUCAAGGAGUUGAGAAUAUCAUAUUUUGAGCAAGGUGAAAUCAAAAUAUAUAAUAAAAUUGCAUAUUCUAUGGCACUUAGUUUGUAACUAUUCUUAUAGUACCUUCACAGUAAGAAGGAAGAUGAAAUUCAGAAAGGGUUUUCAUAGUUUUGAAAGGUUUAUGUUGAAACAAGGUUUAUGUUGAAAGGUAAAGAUAAUUUUUCUUUUUAAAUCAGCUGAAUAGUGGUUGGAAGAUUCACCUGUGGUUUUUCUUUAUGAAAAUGCCAAGGAGCUAACUUGCAGUGUUGAGAAUUCCCAUAUCUUACUUCUUUUGAAAAUUCUUUGGUUUUUAUAUUGCCUCUAAGGAAAAAGGAAAGCACACUGGAAAACAAGAAAUUGAGCAACAUUGCACAAGUAAUUAGGAAAUAAAUAAAGCAUUUUAUUAAAUUUGGGUUUGCAUUUCAGCAAGUGAAACAAUAAGUAAAUAACCUGUUUCUUUAUUAUCAAUGUAUGGAGUCACAUUGGGUCUGACAGACCAAGGCAUAAAUGUAUAAAUAACACCAGUGAUAAUUGUUAGAGGACAUCAAAUUUUUCUAGGGAUGAGCCCAAUUUGAAACCAGAAAAUUAAGACUUCAGACAAAAAUAAUGUAUGAAGGUGAAAUGUACUUAGUCAUUGGUUGCUGUCCCUGCACCACUUUCCCCUGACUUAAUGCUUUUACAUCUCUGAUUCAGUCUCCUCUCCUGUGUGGGAUGGGGUUUUUGGUGGGGAGAGUAUAACUUUGAAUUGACACCUCUAGCAGCAGCUCCUACUGUACUGAUUUCCUUUUAUAAAUGUGUAACCUAUUAUAUCUAUCCAAACCUGGCUGAGCUCCAAGUCACCCAUUUCUCAGUAAUACAGGAAAUUAAAUCUGAUGUCUAAUAAGCACAGAGGCUUAUGCAACCUUCAUUCCCUGUAAAAAGUAUUAAAUAA
Catharus ustulatus (Swainson's thrush) is the source of this 8964-nucleotide long non-coding RNA. RefSeq lists it as uncharacterized. Lineage: Eukaryota; Metazoa; Chordata; Aves; Passeriformes; Turdidae. The record is from RefSeq and is a predicted model, not a curated record. The transcript has 2 exons.